RNAcentral lists this ribosomal RNA (253 nucleotides) under uncultured bacterium. Its description in RNAcentral is "partial 16S ribosomal RNA". It matches the Rfam family "Bacterial small subunit ribosomal RNA", at positions 524 to 776 of the family's 1533-position model. The record is from RNAcentral.
UACGUAGGGCGCAAGCGUUGUCCGGAAUUAUUGGGCGUAAAGAGCUCGUAGGUGGCUUGUCGCGUCUGCCGUGAAAGCCCGUGGCUUAACUACGGGUCUGCGGUGGAUACGGGCAGACUAGAGUUCGGCAGGGGAGACUGGAAUUCCUGGUGUAGCGGUGAAAUGCGCAGAUAUCAGGAGGAACACCGGUGGCGAAGGCGGGUCUCUGGGCCGAUACUGACGCUGAGGAGCGAAAGCGUGGGGAGCAAACAGG